CUACGGGAUGCAGCAGUGAGGAAUAUUGCACAAUGGGGGGAACCCUGAUGCAGCAACGCCGCGUGGAGGAUGACGCAUUUCGGUGUGUAAACUCCUUUUAUAUGUCAAGAAAAUGACGGUAGCAUAUGAAUAAGCACCGGCUAACUCCGUGCCAGCAGCCGCGGUAAUACGGAGGGUGCAAGCGUUACUCGGAAUCACUGGGCGUAAAGGACGCGUAGGCGGGCUUGUAAGUCAGGUGUGAAAUCCUACAGCUUAACUGUAGAACUGCACUUGAAACUACGAGCCUAGAGUAUGGGAGGGGCAGAUGGAAUUAGUGGUGUAGGGGUAAAAUCCGUAGAUAUCACUAGGAAUACCUAAAGCGAAGGCGAUCUGCUGGAACAUAACUGACGCUAAGGCGUGAAAGCGUGGGGAGCAAACAGGAUUAGAUACCCGAGUAGUC
This 439-nucleotide ribosomal RNA is filed under the name uncultured bacterium. RNAcentral's name for it is "partial 16S ribosomal RNA". It matches the Rfam family "Bacterial small subunit ribosomal RNA", at positions 339 to 795 of the family's 1533-position model. The record is from RNAcentral.